This 253-nucleotide ribosomal RNA is filed under the name uncultured bacterium. RNAcentral describes it as "partial 16S ribosomal RNA". It matches the Rfam family "Bacterial small subunit ribosomal RNA", at positions 524 to 776 of the family's 1533-position model. The record is from RNAcentral.
UACAGGGGGGGGCAAGCGUUGUUCGGAAUUACUGGGCGUAAAGGGCUCGUAGGCGGCCAACUAAGUCACACGUGAAAUCCCCAGCUUAACCUGGGAACUGCGUGUGAUACUGGAUGGCUUGAAUCCGGGAGAGGGAUGCAGAAUUCCAGGUGUAGCGGUGAAAUGCGUAGAUAUCUGGAGGAACACCGGUGGCGAAGGCGGCAUCCUGGACCAACACUGACACUGAGGAGCGAAAGCCAGGGGAGCAAACGGG